GGGCUCACUUCAGCAGCACAGGUACUAAAAUUGAAACCAUUUACAGAAGAUUAGCAUGACCACUGCACAAGAAUGACAUGCAAAUUCACGAAGAAAAGGCAGAGCAUUCCUUU
Molecule: small nuclear RNA, 113 nt
Organism: Panthera leo (lion)
Lineage: Eukaryota; Metazoa; Chordata; Mammalia; Carnivora; Felidae
Source: Ensembl